AAAGAAAAAUAUAUCUGAAGAUUUGAAAAUUGGUAUAGUGAAUAAUGGAAGAUAUUUAGACCUAAAUGGGCAAAGCGGUACUAACGGAAACAGAAAAAUGCCAGGCUUUGAGGGAUCACUGUCAGCUUCAACAGUAAACCUGCCUGUGGUGUCUGUGAUGCCUGGAGUUGAGAUGCCCUUAGGCACCUCUUAAAUCUAGAAGCCGCUCUAACUAUGAGAGGAAGGGGACCACAAGCCACAGAAUGCAGGCGGCUUCUAGAAACUAUAGAGACAAGGAAACAGAUU
Long non-coding RNA from Hippopotamus amphibius kiboko, 285 nucleotides. RefSeq lists it as uncharacterized. The transcript has 3 exons. Lineage: Eukaryota; Metazoa; Chordata; Mammalia; Artiodactyla; Hippopotamidae. The record is from RefSeq and is a predicted model, not a curated record.